RNAcentral lists this ribosomal RNA (995 nucleotides) under uncultured bacterium. RNAcentral's name for it is "bacterial SSU rRNA". It matches the Rfam family "Bacterial small subunit ribosomal RNA", at positions 355 to 1375 of the family's 1533-position model. The record is from RNAcentral.
UGGGGAAUAUUGCACAAUGGGGGAAACCCUGAUGCAGCGACGCCGCGUGGAGGAAGAAGGUCUUCGGAUUGUAAACUCCUGUUGUUGAGGAAGAUAAUGACGGUACUCAACAAGGAAGUGACGGCUAACUACGUGCCAGCAGCCGCGGUAAAACGUAGGUCACAAGCGUUGUCCGGAAUUACUGGGUGUAAAGGGAGCGCAGGCGGGAAGACAAGUUGGAAGUGAAAUCCAUGGGCUCAACCCAUGAACUGCUUUCAAAACUGUUUUUCUUGAGUAGUGCAGAGGUAGGCGGAAUUCCCGGUGUAGCGGUGGAAUGCGUAGAUAUCGGGAGGAACACCAGUGGCGAAGGCGGCCUACUGGGCACCAACUGACGCUGAGGCUCGAAAGUGUGGGUAGCAAACAGGAUUAGAUACCCUGGUAGUCCACACCGUAAACGAUGAUUACUAGGUGUUGGAGGAUUGACCCCUUCAGUGCCGCAGUUAACACAAUAAGUAAUCCACCUGGGGAGUACGACCGCAAGGUUGAAACUCAAAGGAAUUGACGGGGGCCCGCACAAGCAGUGGAGUAUGUGGUUUAAUUCGACGCAACGCGAAGAACCUUACCAAGUCUUGACAUCCUGCGACGGUACUGGAAACAGUACUUUCCUUCGGGACGCAGAGACAGGUGGUGCAUGGUUGUCGUCAGCUCGUGUCGUGAGAUGUUGGGUUAAGUCCCGCAACGAGCGCAACCCUUAUGGUCAGUUACUACGCAAGAGGACUCUGGCCAGACUGCCGUUGACAAAACGGAGGAAGGUGGGGAUGACGUCAAAUCAUCAUGCCCUUUAUGACUUGGGCUACACACGUACUACAAUGGCGUUAAACAAAGAGAAGCAAGACCGCGAGGUGGAGCAAAACUCAGAAACAACGUCCCAGUUCGGACUGCAGGCUGCAACUCGCCUGCACGAAGUCGGAAUUGCUAGUAAUCGUGGAUCAGCAUGCCACGGUGAAUACGUUCCC